ACCUUAAGAAGCUAAUCUGAAUGUGGCUUUAUGCAUCUUUGUGCUAGGCAAUGUGCAGGGACAGUUGUAUAGUACCUGGAGCUGUAGCUACAGAAAUUGAGUUGGCUAGAAAACUGAAGGAGUUUUCUUUUAAGGAAACAGGAUGUUUACACCACAAAGAUGUUUCAGCUACUGCUAGCUGCUUAUUCAACAAUAAGCAUUCAAGAUGCUUCUCUCUUCUUGGGAAUGAAUGAGGAUGAUGCUACAAACUGCAUGUAGACCAGUGAAGACUACAACUUUAAUGCUAAGACAUGAUUUUUGUAUAUAUGUUAGUUUGUGGUUAAUGUUAAGACAUGAUUUUUGGAUAUAUGUUAGUUUGUGGUUAACGUUUUG
Camellia sinensis is the source of this 372-nucleotide non-coding RNA. NCBI's taxonomy places the organism in Eukaryota, Viridiplantae, Streptophyta, Magnoliopsida, Ericales, Theaceae. The record is from RefSeq and is a predicted model, not a curated record.